CCAACCAUCAAGCACCGCUUGGCGUUGGGCGCUUGUCCCCGCCCCCGGGCCGGGACUCGCCCCGAAUCCAUUGGCAGCCCCCGCACCGGGCCACACGAGCGCAGCAGAAUCCGCGCCUCGGGCACGGCGCGUGGGCGACCCACUGAGCGACCCCCC
RNAcentral lists this unclassified non-coding RNA (156 nucleotides) under Tetraploa aristata. Its description in RNAcentral is "sequence contains ITS2". RNAcentral also lists the same sequence under 1 other name. The record is from RNAcentral. Lineage: Eukaryota; Fungi; Ascomycota; Dothideomycetes; Pleosporales; Tetraplosphaeriaceae.